GGGCUGGGACUCAGAGGUAGAGUGCUCACCUAGCAUGUGCAAGGCCCUGGGUUCGAUCCUCAGCACCACA
This 70-nucleotide transfer RNA is filed under the name Marmota monax (woodchuck). Its description in RNAcentral is "tRNA.Ala". Lineage: Eukaryota; Metazoa; Chordata; Mammalia; Rodentia; Sciuridae. The record is from RNAcentral.